Non-coding RNA from Podarcis lilfordi (Lilford's wall lizard), 70 nucleotides. NCBI's taxonomy places the organism in Eukaryota, Metazoa, Chordata, Lepidosauria, Squamata, Lacertidae. The record is from the annotation of a GenBank genome assembly.
GUAUAGCUCAGUUGGUUAGAGCAUGAUACUGCUAAUGCCAAGGUUGCAGGUUUGAUCCCCAUAUGGGACA